This 1607-nucleotide long non-coding RNA is filed under the name Homo sapiens (human). RNAcentral's name for it is "HSALNT0139572". Lineage: Eukaryota; Metazoa; Chordata; Mammalia; Primates; Hominidae. The record is from RNAcentral.
AAUCCUAGACAAAGUGAUCUGCAUUUUACCUUUCUUCUUUAAUUUUGGCCCACACAAGCAAAGCCUACAUCUCUCACAGGACAGCACUCCAGAUUUCUUUAACUACCUAUCAUCUCAGAGUGAAUAUUUCUACAUUGUUCUUUGCAUCACCAGCCACUACUAUGGAGGAUGUAUUUUGUAGGCUGAGACCAGGUUAUGUGCUGUGCUCCAUGUACAAGAAACGAUAGGAAAUGAAUCAGAGUUCCUGUUGCUCCAGAUUCUCAAGAACAUAUGAUGUCAUCAGUGUUUUAGGUUUUGGUCAUUACAACAGAUCCAAGGCUGAAUUCUGCAGUUUUUGGCUUCAUUCCAACUUGAAUUUAUAUAGAAUAUUUUCAAUCUGUGGUUGGUUGAAUCCACAGAUGCAAAACCCACAGACGUGAGGGCUGAUUCUACGUGCAAACUGGCCACAAAAGUCCUGGCUGUCUUCAAAGCUGCAUCCUAACGAGGGCAGAGUACCUGGUACAAUGAAUCUGAUUGUAAUUUACAAGAAAAUCACCUCUACUGCCUACAAUAUGUUACCUCAUUUGUUUCCCAGUUCCUAAUUUGUACCCUUAGAUUCUUAGACCAUAAAGUAUUUCCUGAAGGAAUAGAGGGCUCCAAGUGGGAUGAUUUGAGUAGUUCAUUUUGGUGGCUUUUGUUAUGGAAAUAUGUGAGGAUGGUUGAACUUUAGUACUGAUUUUUCAUUCACAUGACAAGAAUGCCUACAUAAAUCAUGUUGCUCUCCCAUUUAAGUAAUUACUAGGUUUGAAGCCAGUUAAAACAAAUGAUAGAAGAUAUUUUAGGUUAAACAACAUGGUUUUGCUUUCAUUGACAUCAACCAUAAUAGGCCUAAAAAUAUAAGUGCAGAAAAGCAUGUUAGUAUCUUUUAUUUCUUUCAAGUAUAUUCAUUUAGUUGACUUUUUCAAAUAUAUUUUAGCUUAUUUUGCCUUCUGAUAAGAAUAGGACAAUUGAAGAAAAGGUUUUCUCACUUCCUUAACAUUAUGAAAGAAUUUUAUUUUGGAAUUGCCUGAGAGGUAAAUGGAAAAUAUGCUCAGUUGGCCCAAAUUCUUUAUUAAACAACAUUAUAAGUGAAAAUCUGUUUUCCCUGCUAUUAUCUGAGUGCUAUGCUUAAAGAAACAAAUAAACAUCCUGACAGUUGACAGACAGGAAAUAUGUUUUGUUUCCUUUUUUAUUCCGGCUUCAUUAUUUUCCAUGGAGAUGGAUUCUUGAAGCGACAGGCUGUGUUCAUUUCAGUUCAACUGUUCAUUGACUUAUGCAACAUAUCAAAUUCCUUACCAAAGUGAAAAAAAAAAAAAGCAGAAUGAAAUUUAGCUAUGAUUCAACCAGAGAAAUUUACAUGUUGGGCAAGGAUUCUUGUUAUUUAAAGAUAAAGGCAUUUUUGAAAGUCCACUGAAAAAUGGCUAAAAUUUUUCUAAUUCUGGUUUGGUGAUAUAUCCUAUUAAUCUGCCACCACUUAUUAAUGGCACUCAUAAUUUAAAGCCCUCUAACACUGGCACCUCACAUCUCAUUAAGGUAUCUCCUCCCAUUCUUCCUGCAAACAUGACAUUUAGGAGACCAUUAUAUGACUU